AUUGCUGCCAAAGGCAGCACUCCUAAUCUUGACAUGAAGGUUUCUCCAGAGUUCACUCGACCCAGUCUUUCGCGCCGAUCUAUGUAUUGUCGAGAUUUCGAUUUGUGUCUGUCCGUCCGUUAAGAUGUCGUAAUUCCGGGGGGGAACGGACGGGGGAAGUGCGAGAAAAAUAUUAAAUUGCGUGCACAUAAUAUGCAAACUUUUUAUUCUGGAUCUGCAAAAUAUACGAACAUUUCCCGAAGAAACCAGGUAAGUAUGGCUUUAUUUCUUUGUGCUAAUAUCCAUCAAGGCGAUAAACUGUUUAGCGUUCAUUCUGGAGGCAAGCAAUGUGCUUUUAUGAGUUUACGGCGCUUCUUACAGCCCGAAAUAAUUCCCAUUCGCAUUGUCCGCAUGGUCGUUUAUAGAACAUUUGAUAAUUUUAUGUCAUAUUCAAGGAGACAAAAUGUACUUAUAAGGAGUUCUGAAGUAAUAUAAUUCAUGAAAGUACCGGCAGUUUUAAUAGUAGCCCGCCUGAUCUAUUCGUCAAUAAUGCCUUUAUAUAUUUAUACAAGGAGUCUAAAUGCACUCAGUUUAUUUGUUUGUUUAAUAUAUGUGCCAAGACGAUGAGUAUUGUGUUCACUUCUAGAUGUUUAUAGUUUAACAACAAACGCGGAAUGUUGUUAAAUCAGGCUUACUGUAAUAAGAUUCCUAGAGCAAUCUAGUGUGGAUUGUUGUCUGCACUUUAAAUAUGGACUUACCAGCAAUUACAUGUAAUAGUAUGUCAACUGACUUUUGUAAAGAUAUGACUGUCUGUUUAUAUAUACAGUAUACAUCUUUGAGGCCUCUGAGAUUAUGUCCCUUGUUAGCAUAAUAUGAAAUAAUCCUACCGGCCUACAUUCAUAUAUUCAUCUGGCUGUGUCACUACAUUUCAGAGUGUAUUUAUAUUUUUCGAUAAUGCUCACAAUUAGAAAUGUCAACAAAUAGAUCUUGUCUCCCCAUCAGCAUAUUGUUCGGUUGUUCUGUAAUAUGGGCAGCCUUGAAGGUGGCAUUAAAACAAUAAUUAGAACAAAACCUGACUUAGUAUUUUCAUAUAAACAUUGUAAAGUAUUCAGUGGCAAGCUAGCCAUGGCAACUGGCCAUGCUAUGCUGAUAAACCUGCAUCUAUAAUUUUGAAUAAUGCAAAUCAUUAAAAACUUGCAUAGCAUGACCUGUUGCUAUGGCUAACUUCACCACUGACAGUAUUAUAAUUAUACAAAAGCAAGAAGUUAUAAGCAUUGAAGAUAUUCA
Non-coding RNA from Paramuricea clavata, 1266 nucleotides. Lineage: Eukaryota; Metazoa; Cnidaria; Anthozoa; Malacalcyonacea; Plexauridae. The record is from the annotation of a GenBank genome assembly.